AGCCAAAUUUUGGAACCACUGUCUUACACCCUGGCCACUUUCCCCUUUCCCGUUGCCUCCCUUGGCGCGCCCUGAGCCAUUUGACUCCUGCUCUUCUCCAGAUCCCAAAGUUUGGCUUCCCAGGCUGUGCCAGGCCGGCUUGGCCCUGCCCACUGCUUUAAUCCCACCCUAGUUCUGGGAUUGUGAAGCCAAACAUUUCCUCCUUCACUCCUCCCCAAGUCCCUUCUUAGUGUAGGUGGUUUUACUUUUUGGGGGCGUUUCGGGUGAGGACCUUUGUCCGAGACUUCUGAAAAAACGAAAGAACUCCGAUCCUCCUCUGCCUGUAGAUGUGAUGGAUUACAUUAAUUGAUGUUUGGAUGUUGAACCACCCUUGUGUACCUGGGAUGAAUUCUACUUGGUCAAGGUCCUUCUAGCUGUGGCAUGUGGGACACCAUGUCAACGUGGCCUGAUGAGUGGUGCCAUGUCUCUGCCCAGGAUCCGAACCGGCAAAACCCUGGGCCACCACAGCGGAGUGUGCAAACUUAACCACUCAGCCACGGGGCUGGCGUCUAGUUCAAAAUAUUUUUAAAUUCCUCUUGAGAUUUUUUCUGUGACCUAUGUGUUAUUUAGAAGUUUAAUGUCUAUUUA
This 627-nucleotide long non-coding RNA is filed under the name Equus asinus (donkey). RNAcentral's name for it is "lncRNA (ENSEASG00005025834.1)". Lineage: Eukaryota; Metazoa; Chordata; Mammalia; Perissodactyla; Equidae. The record is from RNAcentral.